Molecule: unclassified non-coding RNA, 378 nt
Filed under: uncultured bacterium
Lineage: Bacteria
Description: contains 16S-23S intergenic spacer region
Source: RNAcentral
UCCGGUUUGUCACCGGCAGUCUCCCUAGAGUGCCCAACUUAAUGCUGGCAACUAAGGACAAGGGUUGCGCUCGUUGCGGGACUUAACCCAACAUCUCACGACACGAGCUGACGACAGCCGUGCAGCACCUGCGCAGGCUCCCUUGCGGGUCCCUUGGCUUUCACCUCAGUACCACCUACACGUCAAGUCCGGGUAAGGUUCUUCGCGUUGCAUCGAAUUAAACCACACGCUCCGCUGCUUGUGCGGGCCCCCGUCAAUUCCUUUGAGUUUUAGCCUUGCGGCCGUAGUCCCCAGGCGGGGUGCUUAUUGCGUUAGCGACGGCACCGGAGGGGUCGAUACCCCCGACACCUAGCACCCAUCGUUUACAGCGUGGACUAC